CCUACGGGAGGCAGCAGUGGGGAAUAUUGCACAAUGGGCGAAAGCCUGACGCAGCGACGCCGCGUGAGGGAUGAAGGUCUUCGGAUCGUAAACCUCUGUCAGCAGGGAAGAACGGUCACUGUGCUAAUCAUCAGUGCAUUGACGGUACCUGCAAAGGAAGCACCGGCUAACUCCGUGCCAGCAGCCGCGGUAAUACGGAGGGUGCGAGCGUUAAUCGGAAUUACUGGGCGUAAAGCGCUCGUAGGCGGUAUGUUAAGUCAAGGGUGAAAUCCCCGCGCUCAACGUGGGAACUGCCUUUGAAACUGGCAAACUGGAGGGUGGGAGAGGAGAGUGGAAUUCCAGGUGUAGGAGUGAAAUGCGUAGAUAUCUGGAGGAACAUCAGUGGCGAAGGCGACUAGCUGGAACAUAACUGACGCUGAGGAGCGAAAGCGUGGGUAGCAAACAGGAUUAGAUACCCUUGUAGUC
RNAcentral lists this ribosomal RNA (465 nucleotides) under uncultured bacterium. RNAcentral describes it as "partial 16S ribosomal RNA". It matches the Rfam family "Bacterial small subunit ribosomal RNA", at positions 338 to 795 of the family's 1533-position model. The record is from RNAcentral.